This 402-nucleotide ribosomal RNA is filed under the name uncultured bacterium. Its description in RNAcentral is "bacterial SSU rRNA". It matches the Rfam family "Bacterial small subunit ribosomal RNA", at positions 1012 to 1414 of the family's 1533-position model. The record is from RNAcentral.
GGCUUCCGCAAGGACAUCUGUAGAGGUGCUGCAUGGCUGUCGUCAGCUCGUGUCGUGAGAUGUUGGGUUAAGUCCCGCAACGAGCGCAACCCUUGUCUUCUGUUGCCAUCAGGUUAAGCUGGGCACUCUGAAGAGACUGCCGGUGACAAACCGGAGGAAGGUGGGGAUGACGUCAAGUCAGCAUGGCCUUUAUGUCUGGGGCCACACACGUGCUACAAUGGCCGGUACAAACCGUUGCAAACUCGCGAGGGUGAGCUAAUCGGAUAAAGCUGGUCUCAGUUCGGAUUGUAGGCUGCAACUCGCCUGCAUGAAGUUGGAAUCGCUAGUAAUCGCGGAUCAGCACGCCGCGGUGAAUACGUUCCCGGGCCUUGUACACACCGCCCGUCACAUCACGAAAGCCGG